UACAGAGGGGGCAAGCGUUAUUCGGAAUUAUUGGGCGUAAAGGGCGCGUAGGCGGCCUGGCAAGUGGAAGGUGAAAUCCCUCGGCUUAACCGAGGAACUGCCCUCCAAACUGCUUGGCUUGAGACCGGGAGAGGUGAGUGGAAUUCCCAGUGUAGCGGUGAAAUGCGUAGAUAUUGGGAGGAACACCAGUGGCGAAGGCGGCUCACUGGACCGGUACUGACGCUGAUGCGCGAAAGCGUGGGGAGCAGACGAGG
Molecule: ribosomal RNA, 254 nt
Filed under: uncultured bacterium
Lineage: Bacteria
Description: partial 16S ribosomal RNA
Rfam family: Bacterial small subunit ribosomal RNA
Source: RNAcentral